AAGCUGGUCAUAGCCCCACCUUCUUGAAGCUCAGGGAAGAGCAGAGCCACCCCGGAGAGAACUUGGAGGAAGAGGAAGACAAUAGUUUCCUUGGAAGAGCUGUGAGUCCUAGAAAAAGCCAGCCAGGAGAGAAUGUGGAGGCAGAGGAAGACAAUAGUUCCCUUGGAAGAGCUGUGACUACUAGAAAAUGUACUGUCCUGGUGA
Molecule: long non-coding RNA, 204 nt
Filed under: Monodelphis domestica (gray short-tailed opossum)
Lineage: Eukaryota; Metazoa; Chordata; Mammalia; Didelphimorphia; Didelphidae
Description: lncRNA (ENSMODG00000044720.1)
Source: RNAcentral